This is a long non-coding RNA of Balaenoptera acutorostrata (minke whale), 801 nucleotides long. RefSeq lists it as uncharacterized. The record is from RefSeq and is a predicted model, not a curated record. The transcript is spliced from 4 exons. Lineage: Eukaryota; Metazoa; Chordata; Mammalia; Artiodactyla; Balaenopteridae.
CCCGCGCCGGCGCCGCCCCGCAGGCGCCUCUCGGUGUCGGUGCGAGGUUUGAAUUGCGGACGAUCUGAGGAAACUCCAGCCCCAUCUCUGAGUUAAACACUCGGAGGAAAAAUAGGGAUUUGCAUUUGAAGCUCUGAAUAAGACGGGACAUUUUUUUCCCCUCCUUAGUCCGUUUUGAGAGGUUAUUUUACAUUUAAUGACAAUCAUGACUACCACGUAUCGAAUUCUUAUUACCCUUGGACAAGGCAUUUAACACACACAUUAUUUCAUUCAAUCCUUAGAACAACCCCCAAUUUCUUAUCCCCAUUUUACAGAGGAGGAAAACUGAGGUUCAGAAAGGAGAAGAAACUCGUCCAAGAGGUUUUGACCCCAUUCCUUGGUGCCAUUUCUUCUUUAUCACCGUGGAAAUAUCCACUGAGGUUAAUAGCUGGUUGUGGAAGGCUUCUGAGGAGAUACCUGAUUAAAGGGAAGAAGACUUUUUCACUAAUAACACAUUGGCCUCAUCUAACUCCCUGCAUCUUUUUUUUUUUUUAAAGGUCGAUAUUCUGAAGGAGAAAUACAUGCGGAAGAAACAAAUGUGGAAGAAAAUGAAGUGUAAGCAUUUGGAGGCCAAAACAUGCUUCAGCUGUGCUUUAAAGAAAGAAAAUGGGCUUUUUGGAACCCUGGAUCUGAUUUCAUCCAAAGUAACUCCUGAAUACCGACCUACACAGAGACACCAUCAACUUCCAUGGAACUACAGAGAAAACAUGGAUUUAAUUCACGUUUUGCUGAGCUAUUUAACUUUGCAAAACUGAUUUAGAA